Molecule: non-coding RNA, 76 nt
Organism: Mycena crocata
Lineage: Eukaryota; Fungi; Basidiomycota; Agaricomycetes; Agaricales; Mycenaceae
Source: the annotation of a GenBank genome assembly
UCAGAUAUGGUGUAGUGGGAACAUUGUGUUAUUACAAAAGUUGAGGAAGUCCCGGGUUCGAUUCCCGGUGUCUGAC